Long non-coding RNA from Symsagittifera roscoffensis, 479 nucleotides. RefSeq lists it as uncharacterized. The transcript has 3 exons. The record is from RefSeq and is a predicted model, not a curated record. NCBI's taxonomy places the organism in Eukaryota, Metazoa, Xenacoelomorpha, Acoela, Convolutidae.
AAAGAAGCUUUUAUAUUAAAUUAUUUUAUUAUAAUUGACUGAAGAAAUUCAUUUUCUCGCAACCGAUAUCAAUAUCUUCUGAGAUAAGUAAACUGAAAUAUCUGAAAAAACGGUAACUUUGUGACAAAAAUGAUUCGAACAAGUGCCCUGACUGUUCUUCUGAUUACCUUCGCUUGUUAUUGGUGCCAGGAUGGAUCGAGUAGAGCUAUACGAUCGGCAGAUCUUGAGAACAUGAGUCUCGAGGAGUUUCAAAACUUGGCGACUAACCAUCCAGAAGAAUUGAGUCAAAUGUUUUCCACCCCAGAAGAGGCCAGGGAUUUUGUCAAUCAGCUCAGCCAGAGAAUGAACUCCCAACAAUAAUAAAAAAGACUUGGAAUACAUUUCAGACGUGCAAAUCAGAAAAAAAAACCAACUAAUACAAAGAUGGUUAUGGACUUGAACUGAAUUCACAACUUGAACUGAAUUAAACAUUAAUUUAA